CCUACGGGAGGCAGCAGUGAGGAAUAUUGGUCAAUGGACGAGAGUCUGAACCAGCCAAGUAGCGUGAAGGAUGACUGCCCUAUGGGUUGUAAACUUCUUUUAUAUGGGAAUAAAACGUUCCACGUGUGGGAUUUUGUAUGUACCAUAUGAAUAAGGAUCGGCUAACUCCGUGCCAGCAGCCGCGGUAAUACGGAGGAUCCGAGCGUUAUCCGGAUUUAUUGGGUUUAAAGGGAGCGUAGGUGGAUUGUUAAGUCAGUUGUGAAAGUUUGCGGCUCAACCGUAAAAUUGCAGUUGAAACUGGCAGUCUUGAGUACAGUAGAGGUGGGCGGAAUUAGUGGUGUAGCGGUGAAAUGCUUAGAUAUAACGAAGAACUCCGAUUGCGAAGGCAGUUCACUGGACUGCAACUGACACUGAGGCUCGAAAGUGUGGGUAUCAAACAGGAUUAGAUACCCCUGUAGUC
This 460-nucleotide ribosomal RNA is filed under the name uncultured bacterium. RNAcentral's name for it is "partial 16S ribosomal RNA". It matches the Rfam family "Bacterial small subunit ribosomal RNA", at positions 338 to 795 of the family's 1533-position model. The record is from RNAcentral.